This 254-nucleotide ribosomal RNA is filed under the name uncultured bacterium. RNAcentral's name for it is "partial 16S ribosomal RNA". It matches the Rfam family "Bacterial small subunit ribosomal RNA", at positions 524 to 776 of the family's 1533-position model. The record is from RNAcentral.
UACGUAGGGGGCGAGUGUUGUCCGGAUUUAUUGGGCGUAAAGAGCUCGUAGGCGGCUUGGCAAGUCGGGUGUGAAACCUCCAGGCUCAACCUGGAGACGCCACUCGAUACUGCUAUGGCUAGAGUCCGGUAGGGGACCACGGAAUUCCUGGUGUAGCGGUGAAAUGCGCAGAUAUCAGGAGGAACACCGGUGGCGAAGGCGGUGGUCUGGGCCGGCACUGACGCUGAGGAGCGAAAGCGUGGGUAGCAAACAGG